RNAcentral lists this long non-coding RNA (886 nucleotides) under Citrus x clementina. RNAcentral describes it as "Citrus clementina (C. clementina) long non-coding RNA (CCLE_LNC002554)". Lineage: Eukaryota; Viridiplantae; Streptophyta; Magnoliopsida; Sapindales; Rutaceae. The record is from RNAcentral.
UUUUUUAUUUAAAUUAACUUUAAAAAAUAGGUUUACCCUCCUUACGUAUACAUUAAUUCAAUGUAUAGAUAUGCUUCCUCUUCACGUAUACAUUAAUUCAAUGUAUAUGACAUGCUUUGUCAACAUUAAUUUAUAAAGCAAAAACAACCGAUAACUAGCUGCACAUGCCACGAACAGAAUUGGACCGCUAGCUAACGCUUAGCUUACCUUUCAAUGAAUCUCUCUCCACUUUCUUUACGCUGAACCAAAUGCAUUACAUAAAUAUCUUGAAAAACUCUGCAUUAUACAUAUAUAUAAAAUAUUAGCAAGUGGGCAGUUUAGUCGAUAGCAGCAUUAAACAGGAAAUUUUCUGGUGCUCUCUUGCUCGCAGUUGCCAUUUGACGGAGCGGGCUAAGCGGAAGCGGUAUUGAUAGAAUAGAUAGCACUAGAUAUUAUUCUAGUACGGAACCAAGUUAACGCGAUUAAUUUACACUCUAAUUGAAAUAUGAUUCAAUUUUAUUUUAACUCAAAUGACUUAAUGAGAUUUUUAAUAACGUUUAAAGCCGUUUAAAACAAGAUUAUAUGAUGCUCUAAUUCAAACGACCCUACAAGAGAGAUUUUAAUAAAUAAUUUCAAAAAAAAUUAGAAAAUGAGAUUUUAUUGAAUAAUUAAAAUUACAGUUAUGAAAACAAUAACAAGAUCUCUCUAUUUAUAACACCUAUUUCCCUAAGUUAACUUAAAAAAGGAAAGUAAACCACAAUUAUAAUAGACAUAUAAAAGACUAAGACACUUAUCAUAAUUGACCUUAAUUAAAGCAGAAAGUGUUAAAAUAAUAAAAAUUUCUAGAAUCUUAAAAUAACGUCCUACAUUGCUAUUGUAUCAGUGAAAUAUAUCACUAUAAAUUUCU